RNAcentral lists this ribosomal RNA (282 nucleotides) under Candida albicans. RNAcentral describes it as "partial 28S ribosomal RNA". It matches the Rfam family "Eukaryotic large subunit ribosomal RNA", at positions 1 to 276 of the family's 3401-position model. Lineage: Eukaryota; Fungi; Ascomycota; Pichiomycetes; Serinales; Debaryomycetaceae. The record is from RNAcentral.
CUUUGACCUCAAAUCAGGUAGGACUACCCGCUGAACUUAAGCAUAUCAAUAAGCGGAGGAAAAGAAACCAACAGGGAUUGCCUCAGUAGCGGCGAGUGAAGCGGCAAAAGCUCAAAUUUGAAAUCUGGCGUCUUUGGCGUCCGAGUUGUAAUUUGAAGAAGGUAUCUUUGGGCCCGGCUCUUGUCUAUGUUCCUUGGAACAGGACGUCACAGAGGGUGAGAAUCCCGUGCGAUGAGAUGACCCGGGUCUGUGUAAAGUUCCUUCGACGAGUCGAGUUGUUGG